UUAUACGGUGAACUGCGAAUGGCUCAUUAAAUCAGUUAUCGUUUAUUUGAUAGUACCUUACUACAUGGAUACCUGUGGUAAUUCUAGAGCUAAUACAUGCUAAAAACCUCGACUUCGGAAGGGGUGUAUUUAUUAGAUAAAAAACCAAUGCCCUUCGGGGCUCCUUGGUGAAUCAUAAUAACUUAACGAAUCGCAUGGCCUUGCGCCGGCGAUGGUUCAUUCAAAUUUCUGCCCUAUCAACUUUCGAUGGUAGGAUAGUGGCCUACCAUGGUGGCAACGGGUAACGGGGAAUUAGGGUUCGAUUCCGGAGAGGGAGCCUGAGAAACGGCUACCACAUCCAAGGAAGGCAGCAGGCGCGCAAAUUACCCAAUCCCGACACGGGGAGGUAGUGACAAUAAAUACUGAUACGGGGCUCUUUUGGGUCUCGUAAUUGGAAUGAGUACAAUCUAAAUCCCUUAACGAGGAACAAUUGGAGGGCAAGUCUGGUGCCAGCAGCCGCGGUAAUUCCAGCUCCAAUAGCGUAUAUUAAAGUUGUUGCAGUUAAAAAGCUCGUAGUUGAACCUUGGGUCUGGCUGGCCGGUCCGCCUCACCGCGAGUACUGGUCCGGCUGGACCUUUCCUUCUGGGGAACCUCAUGGCCUUCACUGGCUGUGGGGGGAACCAGGACUUUUACUGUGAAAAAAUUAGAGUGUUCAAAGCAGCCUUUGCUCGAAUACAUUAGCAUGGAAAUAAUAGAAUAGGACGUGCGGUUCUAUUUUGUUGGUUUCUA
Molecule: ribosomal RNA, 768 nt
Filed under: Aspergillus fumigatus
Lineage: Eukaryota; Fungi; Ascomycota; Eurotiomycetes; Eurotiales; Aspergillaceae
Description: SSU rRNA
Rfam family: Eukaryotic small subunit ribosomal RNA
Source: RNAcentral